RNAcentral lists this unclassified non-coding RNA (299 nucleotides) under fungal sp. RNAcentral describes it as "partial internal transcribed spacer region". The stretch from base 1 to 46 matches the Rfam family "Eukaryotic small subunit ribosomal RNA", at positions 1786 to 1831 of the family's 1831-position model. The record is from RNAcentral. Lineage: Eukaryota; Fungi.
AAGUCGUAACAAGGUAUCUGUAGGUGAACCUGCAGAUGGAUCAUUUCGAUGAAAACCUUUUUUCUGAGGUGUGGCUCGCACCUGUCUAACUAAACUUGAGCUACCUUUUUAACACGGUUGCAUCGGUUGGGCCUGUCGAACAAUGCAAAUACGCGCUGGGAGACGGUCUCGACACUUUUAACCAAACACUUUUGAUGAUCUAGGAUUUGAAUGAAGUUCAUUUUUACGAUGGAACCGACUGGUAAUGCGGUCGACUAAAUCUAAAAAACAACUUUUGGCAACGGAUCUCUUGGUUCUCC